Non-coding RNA from Gossypium arboreum, 107 nucleotides. The record is from Rfam. Lineage: Eukaryota; Viridiplantae; Streptophyta; Magnoliopsida; Malvales; Malvaceae.
AAGCCAUACAUCGGACAUUUCAAAACUAAAUCUUUUAAUCAUUCCCAAGCUUCAUAUAGUGUUUCAUCAUCCAAUUUCUAAAAAUAUGUAAUGUCAUUUCUAAGCUU